AUCCAAUUGACGAGUUCCAGAUAGGACGAAACGUGCUUCCUGGAU
This is a non-coding RNA of Schistosoma mansoni, 45 nucleotides long. Lineage: Eukaryota; Metazoa; Platyhelminthes; Trematoda; Strigeidida; Schistosomatidae. The record is from Rfam.